AGUAGGUGUAGCUCAGUGGUUGAGCGCCUGCUUCACAUGUAGGAGGUCCCAGGUUCAAUCCCUGGUACCUCUU
RNAcentral lists this transfer RNA (73 nucleotides) under Dasypus novemcinctus (nine-banded armadillo). Its description in RNAcentral is "tRNA-Val (CAC) (tRNA-Val-CAC-5-1)". It matches the Rfam family "tRNA". Rfam says of the family: Transfer RNA (tRNA) molecules are approximately 80 nucleotides in length. Their secondary structure includes four short double-helical elements and three loops (D, anti-codon, and T loops). Lineage: Eukaryota; Metazoa; Chordata; Mammalia; Cingulata; Dasypodidae. The record is from RNAcentral.